This 72-nucleotide transfer RNA is filed under the name Candidatus Poribacteria bacterium. RNAcentral describes it as "tRNA-Met". It matches the Rfam family "tRNA". Rfam says of the family: Transfer RNA (tRNA) molecules are approximately 80 nucleotides in length. Their secondary structure includes four short double-helical elements and three loops (D, anti-codon, and T loops). Lineage: Bacteria; Candidatus Poribacteria. The record is from RNAcentral.
UGCAGGGUGGAUUACUGGAGGAUCAUCAGUCUCAUAAGCUGGUUUAAGUAGGUUCGAUUCCUGUCCCUGCAA